AAAAAAACGAGUCUUCUCCAUCUGAAUGGCUGUGUUUCUCAAUGUAUUUGGACGAAUUAGAGAACGAUAAAAAAAUAUUCACAGAUUUUUUAAAAAUAUUGAAUCUCUUAUAACGUAAAUGUUAAAGCGGAUAAUUUGACAAGAAAGGUUCAUAUCCAACCGCAUUAUAUCAUAUAUGUAAACAAAA
This 187-nucleotide small RNA is filed under the name Arabidopsis thaliana (thale cress). RNAcentral describes it as "ATSL215740". Lineage: Eukaryota; Viridiplantae; Streptophyta; Magnoliopsida; Brassicales; Brassicaceae. The record is from RNAcentral.